Molecule: ribosomal RNA, 466 nt
Filed under: uncultured bacterium
Lineage: Bacteria
Description: partial 16S ribosomal RNA
Rfam family: Bacterial small subunit ribosomal RNA
Source: RNAcentral
GAUGAACGCUGGCGGCGUGCUUAACACAUGCAAGUCGAACGAUGAAGCCCAGCUUGCUGGGUGGAUUAGUGGCGAACGGGUGAGUAACACGUGAGUAACCUGCCCUUAACUCUGGGAUAAGCCUGGGAAACUGGGUCUAAUACCGGAUAGGAGCGUCCACCGCAUGGUGGGUGUUGGAAAGAUUUAUCGGUUUUGGAUGGACUCGCGGCCUAUCAGCUUGUUGGUGAGGUAAUGGCUCACCAAGGCGACGACGGGUAGCCGGCCUGAGAGGGUGACCGGCCACACUGGGACUGAGACACGGCCCAGACUCCUACGGGAGGCAGCAGUGGGGAAUAUUGCACAAUGGGCGCAAGCCUGAUGCAGCGACGCCGCGUGAGGGAUGACGGCCUUCGGGUUGUAAACCUCUUUCAGUAUGGAAGAAGCGAAAGUGACGGUACCUGCAGAAGAAGCACCGGCUAACUACGUG